AAAAUGUUAAAUCUGGCAUCAUAACAAACAAUUCAAGAAUCAACCAUUAAUCGAAUUGGUCUAACCUGUGCCUGGUUGAUUCUCAGUUAAUAGUGAUUAUCAAAUUGUUAUUUCAAAGGACUUGACCUUUCUUUACCUCCAUCCUUUUCAUCAUUACCAUCAUCAAUUUCAAAUGAAAAUUUCAUUUCUUAUCUUAUGAAGAUCAUGUUUUUCUUGUUCUUUUUUUUCAUUGUAUUUUUUAUGGAUAAAAACAAAUGAUUCUCAUUGAUUUAGAUACAUGGAAGUUUAAUUAACACAGUAGAGAAGAGCAAUCUAAUCAAGAUUGUUUUCUUCUAAUUAACUUGAGGUCAAUUUUCAUCUAUCUUAUCUUUUCAAAUUUCCCUCUUCCACCAUUUUAAACCGCCAAAUUAAUUGAGUUAAACAAAAGACGGUUAAAGAGAAGCAGUUCAACUUAUUAAUCAUUCAAGUUUGCUACCUUUUGUUUGCUGUUGUCACUGGAAGUCUAGAAAAAUCUUUAUGUAUGUGAAUAAAUAUCCUUUGGUCUGGCCUUUUCUGUUUGUUAUCAUCUUUAAUCAGAUAAUUACUAAUUAUAUCCUCAACUCCUGUGAAAAAGUCUGUCUUACAGUUUCCUAGUGAUGGUUGAAAAAGAUUAACCAUAAAAGGGUAAUCAAGAUUUUAUAACAAUCCCGAUGAUAUCCAGUCUUCUAUUGGAGUGAUACAACAUUAUUACAAUUUUUGGCUCUUCUCAUCUCUAUUAUUUGAAGCUUCAAUAAGGUGUUUAAUAAUUUUCACUCGUCUGGAAGAAAAGAGGAUAAAAGGGUUUCUUUUUUGUCAGUGUCUUCCAAUUUGCGCUGAACUCAUCCUAAUUCAAUUUUGUUGAUAUUUCAACUCUGAAUUCACAUUCAAGGCACUCUUUCAUUAUGAUGAUGAUGAUCUUUAUUAAUGUUAUUAUCCGCAUGUCUAGCAACAACACAUAGCAUCAGUUAUCUUGUCACUUUAUUUGUUUCAUUUACUACGUUCUGAUGGCUGAUAUAACUUGACAGGUAGACGGUUGCUGUGUGUCUCUAUUGUUGACAUGAUUCAUUUUGUUUUAAUCAUAGUAACAAAAAUUGAAGCAACCUCAAUUUUUAACCAUGAGGUAUAAACAUACAAGUUUUACUUUUUCACUCCAGUUUUACAUAAUAAUAAUAAUCAGAGUCAUCAUUAACCUGUCUUGGUGUCAUUCAUUUGUUGUCCUUUCCAGGAAAAAAAAUGAGUAAUUACUCCUUUAUUAAAUUUAAAUACGAUCUCAUCAAACUCAACAUAAUCCAUCUGAAGUGCAAAAAUUUAAUUCUCUUGAGUUCAAUCAUUGAAUCAGAUAAUGAAACGAGAAUCAAUCAAUUUUAAACAUUUGUUUCAUCUUUUAAUGAAUCUGAAGCCUCUUAUUCUAUUUAUCAUCAAUGGGUAUCAAUAUUAAGGUUACAUUAAUUCAUCAUUAAACCCACAAAUAAUUUCCAAAAGAAGACAAAUAAUCUUAAUGGCAGUGCUCAAUCCAGGAACCAAGCAAUCUUUGAGCUAAACAAAAUGUACCUGAUACUCUCAAUUUACGCCCAAACAAUUAACCGGUAUCAUUAAUGUACAUCGAAAUCAAGUGAUGACAGUGAUCAUAGCACUGAUGAUGAUCAGGCUAAAAGUGAAUUCACUUUUGUUGCCAAAUCAACAGCCUACCUGAUAUUAUGAUUCAAAUGACUGAUUGAACUGUGAUUCCAAUUGUCGACUGGAAUAUUCGCCAAGCAAUAUUAGCUGUUAAUCAUAAAAAGCCACACAUAAAGCCAACGUCAGAUAAUCUACAAAACUUAUUCGCCUCUUAUGUAUCACAAUAUCGGUUGAUGUAAAACUCACUUAGCAAUAGCUUUAUUCAAUUAGUCAACAUUGAGUGUAGCACAAUCAACCUUGCAUUUGAUCCAGUUGACUGUCUAAGCCUUUCUCUUCCUAAAACACUUCUCAAGUAAAAGUAGUCGUAUAGCUGUGAUAACAAUCAAA
Molecule: non-coding RNA, 2022 nt
Organism: Tetranychus urticae (two-spotted spider mite)
Lineage: Eukaryota; Metazoa; Arthropoda; Arachnida; Trombidiformes; Tetranychidae
Source: RefSeq, a predicted model, not a curated record